RNAcentral lists this small nuclear RNA (107 nucleotides) under Zalophus californianus (California sea lion). RNAcentral also lists the same sequence under 1 other name. The record is from RNAcentral. Lineage: Eukaryota; Metazoa; Chordata; Mammalia; Carnivora; Otariidae.
GUGCUUGCUUCAGCAGCACAUAUUCUAAAAUUGGAACAAUGCAGAGAACAUUAGCAUGGUCCUUGCACAAGGAUGACAUGCAAAUUCAUGAAGUGUUCCAAAUUUUU